Molecule: ribosomal RNA, 301 nt
Filed under: uncultured bacterium
Lineage: Bacteria
Description: partial 16S ribosomal RNA
Rfam family: Bacterial small subunit ribosomal RNA
Source: RNAcentral
CAGUCGCCGCGGUAAUACGAAGGGUGCAAGCGUUAAUCGGAAUUACUGGGCGUAAAGCGUGCGUAGGCGGUUUGUUAAGUCUGCUGUGAAAUCCCCGGGCUCAACCUGGGAAUGGCAGUGGAUACUGGCAAGCUAGAGUGUGUCAGAGGAUGGUGGAAUUCCCGGUGUAGCGGUGAAAUGCGUAGAGAUCGGGAGGAACAUCAGUGGCGAAGGCGGCCAUCUGGGACAACACUGACGCUGAAGCACGAAAGCGUGGGGAGCAAACAGGAUUAGAUACCCGUGUAGUCCCUGUCUCUUAUAC